Long non-coding RNA from Marmota monax (woodchuck), 2333 nucleotides. RefSeq lists it as uncharacterized. NCBI's taxonomy places the organism in Eukaryota, Metazoa, Chordata, Mammalia, Rodentia, Sciuridae. The record is from RefSeq and is a predicted model, not a curated record. The transcript has 2 exons.
UCUGAAUUGCUUCUCCCAUUUCCUCUCUGACCAUCUGGAGAGCCCUCCAUUCCUGAGGAAUCGUUCCCUGGAACAACAAGGACAGGAGGAAUCCGACCCAGGAAGCCCCGACCUGGGGCCUGGCAGGGGCUGCUGCAGGCAGGCUCUGACAAGAGAGUUCUCUGAGUCAUAAACUCUCCCCUAGGAGGACGUUUGUGACAGCCAGGUCAUCCUGGGCCAGAGAGAUAAAGCCACUUGGCCAAAGCCACUCGACUGAGUGAGCACACGUUGUCAUUCUCUGUUCUGAACAUGAGGAUCCGCCCCUCACCUCGGUUGCCUGGGAGUCUGGGGUGGGCAGCAGUGGGGCCCGGAAGCUUCCCGUCUGUAGCCCAUGGUGGACCCAAGGACAAAGCUUAGAGGGUACCCAAGCCAGUAACAUGGCCAAAGUCACCCCAUGGACCUGGGCUGGUGAAGAUGCCAGGCUUCCCCGUCACUUGUCCUUGGAAGGGAUCCCAGAUGGUCCUUCUUCUUCUCGGCAGUGCUGAUUUUCAAUUCAGAAUUGAGGGUGGGUAUGUUGGGGAGUGACUCCCAGGCCACAUGCCUGCACCCACCCUGCAAGGGAUGCUGGGAAAGUGAGUUUCCAGUGUUUUCAGCUUCUGCGCUGGAAGGCGGGACUCUCCAGUAGAAGAAGGGGCUUCAGAUGCUGGGAGGCCCAAAGCAUUCAAAAGUCCUUCCCACAUAGGGGCCAUCACUAAGAUGGCCCUGGAGUGUGACUGUGAGUCCAGUGCUGUACACACCUGGCAGGGAUUACUGAUCUGAAGGACCCUUCAUGAGACAUGGGAAAGACACCUGUCCUUAAGAGGCCUGACCCAGCUACGAGUUCCUGAUACCUGGGACCGUCACUGACCGCACAGAUUCAUCAAUCUAGACACUUCUAGCCCAGCACAGUCUCCUUUGAAUGAAAGUUCUGCCGUUAAGGACUCAAAUCCAGUCCGUUCAGGAGUUCUGCCCCUUCUUCCUGGGAAGCUGCACAACUUCCAUGGAGCUUGCAUCCCUCCCUGUGUGAUCUUUGUGGCCUUUGGUCAUCCACGCCUGUCCUCCUUGUACCUGCCCAGAAGCCACUAUGACCUUUGGCCUCUGUUUGCCAGGGUUAUGCAAUCAACUCUGCAGCUGCCUAACCAGAACUGUGCACCCCUUCGGUCCACCAGUCUGCUCCUGGCCAUACCUGCAUCCACUUUGAAGGAGUAGAAAUUUCUGGGUUCUCGCCAGGUGCUGUGGGGCAUCCUGUCAUCCCAGCGACUCAGGUGGCAGAGGCAAGAGGAUUCCAAGUUCAAAUCCAGCCUCAGCAACUUAGCAAGCCCCUAAACAACUUCGAGAGACCCUGUCUCAAAAGAAAAAAGAAAAAGGACUGAGAUGGGGCUCAGUGGUUGAGCACUCCUGGGUUUAAUCCCCAGUACAAAAAAAAAAAAAAAGAAAUUCUGGGUUCUCCUCCUUGUGACACUCAUGUGGAAGGAGUCGGGGGUGUCGGGGGGCAGGUGGCUAGCUCACCUUCCAUCUACUGAGGCCUCUCCGUCCCCAGGCCACACACCUGCUAAGGGAGGUGCACGUUGACCCCCGCAUCCUUCAAGUGUACCCAGGGGCUUCUCUCAUGCCACCUAGACCCCCUUUGGCCCACAUCUGUGUGAGGGUUGUGACACUGUCCCUUCUCUCCCACCUGCAGGUCAAGCCUCUCUCUGCUUUUGGGUGGGAUCUUUGCUUCUGUGGUGACGCAGGCUUCCCUUCACCAGGGCUUAGGGCAUCAGCUGUCUGCUCUUCAAGUUCAAAGCAAGGCUUCUGGACUGACAAAAAAGAUUUCUCUUUCAAAACCCGGCUCUUGUAGGGCUAUAGUCUCAGCUCUGGGUUUCAAAGCCUCUUUUGCAACUCAGAGCCAAGGGUUUGACUCUUUGUUCUGGUUUUCCCGUGGAGAGCAGGAAUCAGAGGGAGCCAACUUAGCAUCUGAAUGGAGAAGAAUGGAUAUAAGGAAAUUGUCUAGAAGAACAAUGGUUAAUACCCUCAAAUGAUCUCAAAUGAUCAGAACCUUAUCUCCCUGUUGUUUCAUGUUAAUCCCUCAGGGGCAGGGGCGCCCAUGGAAGACCUGGCACUAGGGUGAAGGGAGCAGGGCACUUGCCCCCGAGGGAUGAUAUUUAAAGUGCAAACAACAACAACUUCAUAAUCAAGUAAUAGUUUGAUGUAAUCUGUGUGUGUGUGUGUGUGUGUGUCUUGGAUUUGAUUCUGGGGCUCCUCUACCACUGAGCUACAACCCCACCACCUGAUUCAAUCAUUUUUUAAAAAUAAAAAUGAAUGCCAAAACUUCA